Molecule: ribosomal RNA, 559 nt
Filed under: uncultured bacterium
Lineage: Bacteria
Description: partial 16S ribosomal RNA
Rfam family: Bacterial small subunit ribosomal RNA
Source: RNAcentral
UGGGGAAUUUUGGACAAUGGGGGAAACCCUGAUCCAGCCAUCCCGCGUGUGCGAUGAAGGCCUUCGGGUUGUAAAGCACUUUUGGCAGGAAAGAAACGUCGCGGGUUAAUACCCCGCGAAACUGACGGUACCUGCAGAAUAAGCACCGGCUAACUACGUGCCAGCAGCCGCGGUAAUACGUAGGGUGCAAGCGUUAAUCGGAAUUACUGGGCGUAAAGCGUGCGCAGGCGGUUCGGAAAGAAAGAUGUGAAAUCCCAGAGCUUAACUUUGGAACUGCAUUUUUAACUACCGGGCUAGAGUGUGUCAGAGGGAGGUGGAAUUCCGCGUGUAGCAGUGAAAUGCGUAGAUAUGCGGAGGAACACCGAUGGCGAAGGCAGCCUCCUGGGAUAACACUGACGCUCAUGCACGAAAGCGUGGGGAGCAAACAGGAUUAGAUACCCUGGUAGUCCACGCCCUAAACGAUGUCAACUAGCUGUUGGGGCCUUCGGGCCUUGGUAGCGCAGCUAACGCGUGAAGUUGACCGCCUGGGGAGUACGGUCGCAAGAUUAAAACUCAAAGG